RNAcentral lists this microRNA (23 nucleotides) under Sarcophilus harrisii (Tasmanian devil). RNAcentral describes it as "Sha-Mir-325_5p* (star (passenger))". RNAcentral also lists the same sequence under 1 other name. The record is from RNAcentral. Lineage: Eukaryota; Metazoa; Chordata; Mammalia; Dasyuromorphia; Dasyuridae.
CGUAGUAGGUGCUUAAUAAAUGC